This 373-nucleotide ribosomal RNA is filed under the name uncultured eukaryote. RNAcentral's name for it is "partial 18S ribosomal RNA". It matches the Rfam family "Eukaryotic small subunit ribosomal RNA", at positions 592 to 975 of the family's 1831-position model. The record is from RNAcentral.
UAAUAGCGUAUAUUAAAGUUGUUGCAGUUAAAAAGCUCGUAGUCGGAUGUCGGGCUCGGAGAGGCUGUCGGCCUUUGGUCGGACGGCAACUCCGGGCCUUUCUGCCUGGGGAUCCUACUCUGCUUAACCGCAGGGUAGUGGGACGCAGGCCGUUUACUUUGAAAAAAUUAGAGUGUUCAAAGCAGGCCUACGCUUGAAUACAUUAGCAUGGAAUAAUGGAAUAGGACUUUGGUCUUAUUUGUUGGUUUAUGGGACCGAAGUAAUGAUUAACAGGGACAGUUGGGGCCGUUUAUAUUUCGUUGUCAGAGGUGAAAUUCUUGGAUUUACGAAAGAUAAACUUCUGCGAAAGCAUUCGGCAAGGAUGUUUUCAUUG